This 292-nucleotide ribosomal RNA is filed under the name uncultured bacterium. Its description in RNAcentral is "partial 16S ribosomal RNA". It matches the Rfam family "Bacterial small subunit ribosomal RNA", at positions 505 to 796 of the family's 1533-position model. The record is from RNAcentral.
GUGCCAGCAGCCGCGGUAAGACGAACCGUCCUAACGUUGUUCGGAAUCACUGGGCUUAAAGGGCGCGUAGGCGGCUUGCCAAGUCAGGGGUGAAAUCCUGCAGCUUAACUGUAGAAGGGCCUUUGAUACUGGCAAGCUCGAGGGAGGUAGGGGUCGCUGGAACUUCCGGUGGAGCGGUGAAAUGCGUUGAUAUCGGAAGGAACGCCGGUGGCGAAAGCGAGCGACUGGACCUCUUCUGACGCUGAGGCGCGAAAGCUAGGGGAGCAAACGGGAUUAGAAACCCUCGUAGUCC